AAUACAGACUGGAAGAAUGUGGAAAUGUGACAUGGAGUCAAACCAACUGCAAUAUAAGUAACAUAGUAGGGGUGAGAUGUGAACAAGCAAUACGUUUAGUAGGAGACAGGGGACCCACUGACGGACGAGUUGAAGUUCUUCAUGAUGGUAUCUGGAAGAAUGUUUGCGAUGAUUAUUUUAGUAAAAUUGCUGGAAAAAUUGUUUGUAGACAAUUAGGAUUCCUCGAUCUUCAACAUCUUGAGGAAAUUGAAAUCUAUGUUACGAACAAUAAUUCAUGGAUUGAGAAUGGUAAUUCGUAUUGGUUGGAUGAUACUAACUGUCAGGGGUAUGAAAGUCGUCUGGAAUAUUGUCCUCAUCUAAGAUUUGGGGAAAACAACUGCAUGAGUAGUGAAGUAGCCGGGGUGCG
Long non-coding RNA from Patella vulgata (common limpet), 406 nucleotides. RefSeq lists it as uncharacterized. The record is from RefSeq and is a predicted model, not a curated record. The transcript has 3 exons. NCBI's taxonomy places the organism in Eukaryota, Metazoa, Mollusca, Gastropoda, Patellidae.